This 298-nucleotide ribosomal RNA is filed under the name uncultured eukaryote. Its description in RNAcentral is "partial 18S ribosomal RNA". It matches the Rfam family "Eukaryotic small subunit ribosomal RNA", at positions 1470 to 1796 of the family's 1831-position model. The record is from RNAcentral.
CCCUUUGAUACUCUGGGCGGCACGCGCGCUACAAUGGAUAACUUAACGUGUUACAUGUCCGAAAGGAUGUAUGCAAAUCACAAAUGUUAUGUCUCGAGUGGGAUAGUUUACUGCAAUUAUAGACUUGGACUAGGAAUCCCUUGUAGGUACACUGAAGCAUAGUGUACCGAAUACGUCCCUGCCGUUUGUACACACCGCCCGUCGUUUCUUCCGACUGAUACUCAUUGUGAAUUGCGGGGAUAACGUUGUUGAAAACCGUUGUAAAUGCUGGGUAUUGGAGGAAGAAAAAGUCGUAACA